Molecule: long non-coding RNA, 199 nt
Filed under: Elaeis guineensis (African oil palm)
Lineage: Eukaryota; Viridiplantae; Streptophyta; Magnoliopsida; Arecales; Arecaceae
Description: long non-coding RNA (EGUI_LNC079476)
Source: RNAcentral
GUUCCUUUCUUUGUUUCUGCACUGGUUCGGUCCGGUACGGAUCCGUACCGACUCGUACCAUUGGCUAGCCAGCAUGGGUCCCGGUAUCAGCUUCAUGGAUCUUGCUUUCAAACCUUGGCUUUUCUAAAACGCUUUUAGGAAUGUGGAGGGACUGUUGCUAAUAUUAUCACCAUAUUUCUUUUUCCUUCCACAGCCAAGC